This is a long non-coding RNA of Nomascus leucogenys (northern white-cheeked gibbon), 713 nucleotides long. RefSeq lists it as uncharacterized. The record is from RefSeq and is a predicted model, not a curated record. The transcript is spliced from 8 exons. Lineage: Eukaryota; Metazoa; Chordata; Mammalia; Primates; Hylobatidae.
AGUGUCGUGGGGGACAGCCUGGGGAUCCCUGGACGGCUGCGACGAGUGAGCGGUUGGCUCGGGCUGCUUUCCUCCCUCCACCGCCUGCUUGUUUCGCCAUGCGCCGGCCGGACGGUGGGGCUGCAGCGGCGAAAGCGACUGAAGUCCGGGAGCAGUCGCAUGAGCUUCCCGGUCACCAGGAGGCCCCAGGAACAGACGCCUCACCCUGACAUUGUAGCAGGAACUUCUGGAUUGCUUUCCAAAGUGGCUGCACUGUUUUCUAUCCCCACUGGGCAGGAAAACAUCUAAGAAUGGAGGCUCCCCCUUCCCUUGCAGGGUGACCAGCAAUUAAAAAGAAGUACUAGAGAGGCAAAUAUUGGCAGUAUACAUCUAAGCACUGGUCAGAAAAGAAGGAACUCAGCCCAAGAACUUGCCCAAUCUGAUACUGGAGGUGCCACCCAAGAACCACUCCCUCCAAGAUGUUUUCCUGGAUUUCCUCAGCCUAAAGUAAUCCCUCUUUUUCCUGGCUAUACCAUCUGGAAAAGAUGACUUCCAAGGACACUGUAGCAAAGAAAAAGAGAACUGGAAGCCCAUGUGCCUUAAUCGCCUCAUCUUAGAGGGCUCGGCAGUCUGGAAAUAGAAACAAUGGUGGUGGAUCGAUUCAAUUGAUCCAGAUUUGGAAGUUGCAUGGCAGGAGAUCUGGUUGUUUACAAGUACAUAGCAUGCCUCCCCCC